Molecule: long non-coding RNA, 344 nt
Filed under: Dasypus novemcinctus (nine-banded armadillo)
Lineage: Eukaryota; Metazoa; Chordata; Mammalia; Cingulata; Dasypodidae
Description: lncRNA (ENSDNOG00000051511.1)
Source: RNAcentral
UGGACUUCUUUCUAGUCAGCUGGUGGAUUGUGAAAGCAAGAGGGAAGGGACAAUCAUUAAGAAGUUUUUGACGGCCCUGUUCGGGCCUGGAUGUGUCAUUCUCCACAUUCUGUUAGAACGUAGUCACACUGCUUCGUUCAAAUGCAAAGGUGCCUGGCUGCGCGGUUUCCGGAGCGGCAGUCCUGUCCCAACAACAGGUACCAUUCUUGUAUUCACUUUGCAGAUUCCAAAAAUUUGUUGAAGGCCUUUGUCUGCGACCAUCUCAAUUCCUGUAAGUUUAUUCCUUUACCAAUAUUUUAUUACUUUACUAUUACACUUAAUUUAUUGGAGAAUAAGAAAAGAGA